This 253-nucleotide ribosomal RNA is filed under the name uncultured bacterium. Its description in RNAcentral is "partial 16S ribosomal RNA". It matches the Rfam family "Bacterial small subunit ribosomal RNA", at positions 524 to 776 of the family's 1533-position model. The record is from RNAcentral.
UACGAGUGCCUCAAGCGUUAUCCGGAAUUAUUGGGCGUAAAGGGUGUGUAGGCGGUCUUGUUAGUCUUCUGUCAAAGUCUCCGGCUUAACCGGGGUUCUGCAGAGGAAACGGCAAGACUCGAGGAUGCGAGAGGUGAAUGGAACUCAUAGUGUAGGGGUGAAAUCCGUUGAUAUUAUGGGGAACACCAAAAGCGAAGGCAAUUCACUGGCGCACUCCUGACGCUGAAACACGAAAGCGUGGGUAGCGAAUGGG